AGGACGUGCUAAUCUGCGAUAAGCGUCGGUGAGGUGAUAUGAACCGUUAUAACCGGCGAUUUCCGAAUGGGGAAACCCAGUGUGUUUCGACACACUAUCAUUAACUGAAUCCAUAGGUUAAUGAGGCGAACCGGGGGAACUGAAACAUCUAAGUACCCCGAGGAAAAGAAAUCAACCGAGAUUCCCCCAGUAGCGGCGAGCGAACGGGGAGGAGCCCAGAGCCUGAAUCAGUGUGUGUGUUAGUGGAAGCGUCUGGAAAGGCGCGCGAUACAGGGUGACAGCCCCGUACACAAAAAUGCACAUAUUGUGAGCUCGAUGAGUAGGGCGGGACACGUGGUAUCCUGUCUGAAUAUGGGGGGACCAUCCUCCAAGGCUAAAUACUCCUGACUGACCGAUAGUGAACCAGUACCGUGAGGGAAAGGCGAAAAGAACCCCGGCGAGGGGAGUGAAAAAGAACCUGAAACCGUGUACGUACAAGCAGUGGGAGCCUCUUAAUGGGGUGACUGCGUACCUUUUGUAUAAUGGGUCAGCGACUUAUAUUCUGUAGCAAGGUUAACCGAAUAGGGGAGCCGAAGGGAAACCGAGUCUUAACUGGGCGUUAAGUUGCAGGGUAUAGACCCGAAACCCGGUGAUCUAGCCAUGGGCAGGUUGAAGGUUGGGUAACACUAACUGGAGGACCGAACCGACUAAUGUUGAAAAAUUAGCGGAUGACUUGUGGCUGGGGGUGAAAGGCCAAUCAAACCGGGAGAUAGCUGGUUCUCCCCGAAAGCUAUUUAGGUAGCGCCUCGUGAAUUCAUCUCCGGGGGUAGAGCACUGUUUCGGCAAGGGGGUCAUCCCGACUUACCAACCCGAUGCAAACUGCGAAUACCGGAGAAUGUUAUCACGGGAGACACACGGCGGGUGCUAACGUCCGUCGUGAAGAGGGAAACAACCCAGACCGCCAGCUAAGGUCCCAAAGUCAUGGUUAAGUGGGAAACGAUGUGGGAAGGCCCAGACAGCCAGGAUGUUGGCUUAGAAGCAGCCAUCAUUUAAAGAAAGCGUAAUAGCUCACUGGUCGAGUCGGCCUGCGCGGAAGAUGUAACGGGGCUAAACCAUGCACCGAAGCUGCGGCAGCGACACUAUGUGUUGUUGGGUAGGGGAGCG
This 1143-nucleotide ribosomal RNA is filed under the name Escherichia coli. Its description in RNAcentral is "partial 23S ribosomal RNA". It matches the Rfam family "Bacterial large subunit ribosomal RNA", at positions 53 to 1238 of the family's 2925-position model. The record is from RNAcentral. Lineage: Bacteria; Pseudomonadati; Pseudomonadota; Gammaproteobacteria; Enterobacterales; Enterobacteriaceae.